GCUGAGUUAUAUCGUAAUCCAGCU
This 24-nucleotide small nuclear RNA is filed under the name Arabidopsis thaliana (thale cress). RNAcentral describes it as "snRNA_11126". The record is from RNAcentral. Lineage: Eukaryota; Viridiplantae; Streptophyta; Magnoliopsida; Brassicales; Brassicaceae.